RNAcentral lists this ribosomal RNA (1535 nucleotides) under Streptomyces sp. PVA_94-07. Lineage: Bacteria; Bacillati; Actinomycetota; Actinomycetes; Kitasatosporales; Streptomycetaceae. The record is from RNAcentral.
GCCGCAUCUCCUUCGAGAACCUCGACGAGGUCCUCAAGAACAGCGAGAUCAAGCAGCUCAACCUCAUCAUCAAGGGUGACGCCUCCGGUUCCGUCGAAGCCCUGGAGUCCUCGCUGCUCCAGCUCGACGUGGGCGAAGAGGUCGACAUCCGGGUGCUGCACCGCGGUGUGGGUGCGGUCACCGAGUCGGACAUCGACCUGGCGAUGGGCUCCGACGCCAUCGUCAUCGGCUUCAACGUCCGCGCGGCCGGCCGUGCCGCGCAGAUGGCGGAGCGCGAGGGCGUCGACGUCCGGUACUACUCGGUGAUCUACCAGGCCAUCGAGGAGAUCGAGGCGGCCCUCAAGGGCAUGCUCAAGCCCGAGUACGAAGAGGUCGAGCUCGGUACGGCGGAGAUCCGCGAGGUCUUCCGCUCCUCCAAGCUGGGCAACAUCGCGGGUGUCCUCGUCCGCUCCGGCGAGGUCCGGCGCAACACCAAGGCGCGCCUGGUCCGCGACGGCAAGGUCGUGGCGGAGAACCUCAACAUCGAGGGUCUGCGCCGCUUCAAGGACGACGUCACCGAGAUCCGCGAAGGCUACGAGGGCGGUAUCAACCUCGGAAACUUCAACGACAUCAAGAUCGACGACGUCAUCGCGACGUACGAGAUGCGCGAGAAGCCGCGCGCCUGACGCGAGGCUGCGUGAUCGGGGCCGGUCGGCGGGGGAAAUCCCGUCGAUCGGCCCCGGCCGUUGCGUGUACGGUUCAGCUGGCUCCGCCCGCCGCGGCGGGGCCCUGACCGUGCCGCCCGCCGGACCACGUCCGGCGGCCGGGGCACCACGAACCCGUACCGGCGGGACAUCCGGACACACAUGUAUGUGGGGACGCUCUCCUUCGACCUGCUCCUGGGCGACGUACGGUCGCUGAAGGAGAAACGCUCAGCCGUCCGCCCGAUCGUCGCCGAACUCCAGCGGAAGUUCUCGGUGAGCGCGGCGGAGGUCGGCGACCAGGAUCUGUACCGCAGGUGCGAGAUCGGGGUCGCCAUGGUGUCGGGGGACCCCGGGCACCUCUCGGACGUGCUGGACCGGUGCGAGCGGCUGGUGGCCGCCCGGCCCGAGGUGGAGCUGCUGUCCGUACGGCGGCGGUUCCACGGCGAGGAUGACUGAACAACCGGGACACCGCACGGUGCCCCGUCGCACAUCAAGAAGGGAACGGACCGGUGGCCGACAACGCGCGGGCCCGCAAACUGGCCGAUCGCAUCCAGGUCGUCGUGGCGGAGACCCUGGACCGACGCAUCAAGGACCCACGGCUGGGCUUCGUCACGAUCACGGACGCCCGUGUCACCGGCGACCUGCGGGAGGCCACGGUCUUCUACACGGUCUACGGUGACGACGAGGAGCGCGCCGCCUCCGCGGCCGCCCUGGAGAGCGCCAAGGGCGUGCUGCGCUCCGAGGUGGGGCGGCAGACGGGGGUGCGUUUCACGCCCACCCUCGCCUUCGUCCCCGACGCCCUGCCCGACAACGCCCGCACCAUCGACGACCUGCUCGACAAGGCGCGGAACA